CUAGCAGAGAGCACCCAAGAAUGCCCCAUGUUUGUCCAAGAACUCAGUAAGCAAAGCCCACCCUGCCAGAAAUGAAGUUUAUAGGCACAGCACAGCCCAGUGUGCAGGGACAGCUUGCUCAACAGGAUGAUCAUGAUGUCAGGUUUGGAGGUGGCCAUCGCCCAUGUUGCUGGACCUGCAGUGUACAGGAUGCAUGAUGGGAAAACGCAACGUGAGCGGCUGCGUGGCGCAGUGCAGGUAACACUGAGGUCUGAAGCGAAUACAGAGCAGUGAAGGCAGCAGCUCACAGCAAUGCAUGGACACAGCACGCCUGUCGGCUCGGACUAGUAAAGAUAGAAAAGGCAUUACCGGAGGAAAGACCUUGCCAAAGAAACAGUUGUUUAUUCACUUUCUCUAAGCGAUACGACAGCAAUAAAACAUCCCAAUUUAACAAGUGAACACGGCGCUCCUGACUCGGGGCUGCUUUAUGGUACGAAGCAGCAGUGGGGCUGAGGCUGCCUCCGGGUUGGGGUUCUCACUCCGAGUGCCCCCACACACAGCUGACCAGGCGUCCCCCAG
Long non-coding RNA from Phasianus colchicus (ring-necked pheasant), 558 nucleotides. RefSeq lists it as uncharacterized. Lineage: Eukaryota; Metazoa; Chordata; Aves; Galliformes; Phasianidae. The record is from RefSeq and is a predicted model, not a curated record.